CCAAGUUCAAACCCAGGAUGGAAUUGGGAUGAAGAAGGAGAGAUAUUCUUUAAACAUUUUUUAAUAGAGAAGAAGAAAAAUUGACUGGAAGUGCUCAAACUGCAGCUAGAUAAGGUCUCACUUUGUCACCCAGGCUGGAGUGCAGUGGUGCGAUCUCGGUUUACUACAGCCUGGACCUCCUGGGCUCAAGGGAUCCUCCCACCUCAGCUCCCUACCCUCAAGUAGCUGGGACUACAGGAUCCCCUGAAAUGCUGGGCACACUGACUAGCCUCUUGUAUAGAGUCUCAAGCCUGUGGCCAGAAGCAGCUGUGUGAAGUAGCCGCUGUGAUGGAUUGGGACCACAGAUACCACUUUGGAAGGAAAGGUUCCAGAAACCAAAGCUUGGGCCAUGGGUCUCUGGGAAACUGCAGCAGGAGUUUAGAGUCUAAUGGAUGGAACACAGAAGCAGGAAAAAAAUUGCUGUAGAAUAUGAUAAAGAUUAAUAGAGGUAUGUACAAAGCACAUUGGGGAUAG
Molecule: long non-coding RNA, 513 nt
Filed under: Homo sapiens (human)
Lineage: Eukaryota; Metazoa; Chordata; Mammalia; Primates; Hominidae
Description: novel transcript
Source: RNAcentral